GCCUGGCUGGCUCAGUCGGUUGAGCGUCCGACUUCGGCUCAGGUCAUGAUCUCGCGGUCCGUGAGUUCGAGCCCCGCGUCGGGCU
This 85-nucleotide transfer RNA is filed under the name Felis catus (domestic cat). It matches the Rfam family "tRNA". From Rfam's summary of the family: Transfer RNA (tRNA) molecules are approximately 80 nucleotides in length. Their secondary structure includes four short double-helical elements and three loops (D, anti-codon, and T loops). The record is from Rfam by way of RNAcentral. Lineage: Eukaryota; Metazoa; Chordata; Mammalia; Carnivora; Felidae.